This 6062-nucleotide long non-coding RNA is filed under the name Coffea arabica (coffee). RNAcentral describes it as "long non-coding RNA (CARA_LNC003562)". The record is from RNAcentral. Lineage: Eukaryota; Viridiplantae; Streptophyta; Magnoliopsida; Gentianales; Rubiaceae.
UUUUUUUUUUUUUUUUUUUUUUGGGGGUGCCAUCAGCAACGUGAAUGAACUCAGAAAACCCCACGAUAAAAUGCAAAGAAGAAAAAAGGUAUCCACUCGUGGUACUGAAGUCUCCUAGUUGUCCGUACUGGAGAGUCUAGACAACUCCACUCAAUCAACGAGUCCUCAAAUCUCCAACUCCUUUUUCCUUUCAGUCCAAAAUCAAACACCUGGUGGGUCUUCAUGAUUUCUCCUCAAUCUUUUUCACAUAAUUCAGAAUUACCCAUCAAGACAAAGCCAAGUAGUUUGAUAUUUUUCAAGUUGAUAAUUUUGUAGAGCAGUAGUAAUGAUAUUACCAGUAGCAAAGCUAGGAACACUUGCCUUAAAGACAAUCUGCAAACCCAUUGCUAGACGCAUCAAGAAAGAGGCUACCUUUCACCCUCAAUUUAGAUUGUUCAUCACCAAUAUUGCCCAGGUCUAGUUUCUACUUGAUGAUACUACAUCCCUUUUUGCAGCUCAGGUUUUUUAGCUAUUUAGUUCUUUUGUUUUUCUGGGUUAUAAUUGAAAUUGAAUGAUACUGCAAGAUAUCUUGAUUGUAAUGUUAAUGCUCAGUAAAUUCUGCUGCUGUAGAAUCUUGUAAGUUGGUGUAGUUAGAUUUGCUUUCCCCUUCAGUAUUAUCUUCUGAUAUUUCUUAGAAUUGAUCUUCUGAUUUGUCAUGAGUCGUCUGCAUUAUAUUUGUGGAAAAUAACAAGGAGCCCAGAUAUUCUAUGAAGGAUUGAUGGAAUGAUGUUUUGGAGAAUAAUUUCAAAGCUAUAACAUUAUUCGAAGAUAAAUAUAUAAUAAAACAAUUGGUGGCGUUAAAGAGGAAACAAAAAGCAUCGAGAAAGAAUAAGGCUAUUGUAUUUUUUAUUUGCUUUGGAUAGAAGCCAUUUGGAAACCAUUGUGACUGUAACAAAUGUAUUUAGGCCCUAAAGGACAUCACGAAAUGAUCUGAAACAUGUCACUGCUUUGUUAUUCAAUGUUGGCCCUUGCUUGGAAACAAAGAUUGUAGUUAUAAGAAGUGCACUCACACGUUUGCGUGAUAGCUGUAAGCAAAUAAUGACUCAGGGAACUUGAUAUUGCAUUAUUGCAAUCUGAAGCCAUACCUGUAUUGUGUCGAACUGUAAGGGUAUAAGGGCGUAGGAGAUCUGUAAAAGCUGAAUCUUUCAUCAGAGUUGGUGGAAGAAUCUGUGAGUAGUAUAUUAGAAUGAUGCUCUUUCUUCUCUGCUUAUGGGGAUUUUCUUUCCUGCAUAGACUUCACAGAUUCUUUUCUGUUCUUGCAUCAGGCAAACCACAGAUUAACAACAACUAUACAGAGGCAAAUUUAUGGACAUGCGACAGACGUUGCAAUUCGCCCUCUGAAUGAAGAAAAAGCUGUUCAAGCUGCUGCUGACCUGUUGGGUGAAUUCUUUGUUUUUACGGUAAUACUGAAUUUCUUCUCGUGUAUCAUUUUAGAUUGGGUCUCUGAGUUCAUUAUUCUUAAAGUCCUUUGUCUUGAACUUUUUUAGCGUGUAAUUGAUUUUUCUACCCUGUGGUUUGACUUGCUCUCAAUUUGCUGUGGUGAGGAUGUCCUGCCUUUUGGUCUAUUGUUGUUAAUAAUUGUUGUAUUAACAAAUAACAAUAGGUAUGUUUCUUUUCAGUGAUAUUUAGAAUUUGACCAUGCUUGACUAACUCUGAUGGUCAUUGUGGGUAGUGAUCCUGUCCACUUCAAGACAUAAAUGCCAUCUUGCUUUAUAUUUGAGCAAUUUUGUGCGUUCUGCUUUCUUUUGUUGUAUUUAACUCUUUCAACAAUAUAAAAGUACCAAUAUUUUAUGCCUGAAAGGACAGAACAAAACAUGCUUGUCCGACAAGAAAGAUUUAUAUAUCUUAGAAGGAUCUCACUGUUCUUGAAUUUUUUCCCCUUUAUGUAACUUUUAAAAUUGAAAAUAUUUGUCAUUAGGCUGUCAAUGAUUGUUCUACAAUACGCUUAAGUUGUUCUACAACAAAAUUUGUUGUUCUUUGUAUUUAAAGAAAGUUAAUUAAGAAGUAAAAGGUUUAAUUUUUUAUCACUACAAAUGAUGGUUGCAAAGAAAAACAAAAACUGACUGAAUCAAAUGGAGCACUUUUCUAGGCAAGAAGGAAGUAAUAAGAGAGUACACCUAUGAACAAAUUCUAUAUAUGGAAGUAAAAGAUUUGCACCUACAGUGCAAUGCUACAUAUGGUUAAAUGAAAAAUUAACCCUCUACGGACAAACUAAUAACACGAAGAACUAUGAAAAUUAAUUGAAGGUACAUUUAAAGAGGAGAAAGGACCAUAAUAUUUUGAGGGAAAAAAUCAAACGGAGGGGAGGGCAAGAAAGUAUAACAAAAUCUUUUGGGGAAAAGUUAGGAGAUAAAAUAAAAUUUAUAUAAUGUUAGAAGUAAAAAUGCAGUUUGUCAGAAGUUAGGGGCUACUGCUGCUGCUGCUCCCCCAUUGCCUCCGCCACUGGUGAUGGAUAUUGUGAGUUGUGACUCAACUAUAUCCAUGAAUCACGUGAAAGAGUGCAACUUGUAGAAUCAACCAACAGAUGGCACUUAAUUUUCAUGACUAUAUGGUGAAAAGUAGGAUCUCUUCUGAAGGACGACAUGCUUUAUACUUGUUCUCGUUUGUUUUCAAGUAAAGGUAACAAAUUUUACAGUUUUAGGCCAAAUUGGAAAUGGUGUAUUGUUGGGUGCAAGUAGUAAGAUUACCGUUCGGGAAACAAAUUGUAACAAGCACAGUUGUUUGGAGGUGUAAGAUGAAAUUAUUUACUUGUGUUAUUUUGUAGUGCUAAAACUGGAUGUGCAUACUCUUUCAAGUUAUUUGUUGUGAUUCUCUUUCUUUGUCUUUCUGCUUAAGACACUAUCUCAUGGUCCAUUUCUUUUUAUUAGGUAGUCGGAGUGGCUGUUCUCUUUGAAGUGCAAAGAAAUGCUAGAUCAGAAGCUAGAAAGGAAGAAAUGCGUAAACAAGAACUAGAGGUCUGUAUUUUUUGUUCAUGUAGUUUCUUUUUUCUCCUUUUCUGAUGCUUUUUGUCUCUAUUCUCUUUAAGAUUUCUCUUUCAAAAUAAUUAGGCGGUAUGUUCAAUGGGGAAAAUGAUUGUCUGGACUUUUAUGAUGACCUAUUAUUAAAAUAGUUCUCCAUUUUGCUGUGAUGAGCGCUUUUCUGUUGUCAUAUUCUGGUAUACAUCACUUUCCAAAGUCACUUGUUCCCUUUGAACUGUCUACAUAAAGAUAGCAACCGGAUCAACUGCCAAAAAAUGUAGGAUAUGGACAUUCCCCUGAUGGGAUCCUGUAAAUGUCCUACGCUUGUGAAAUUCUAAUGGUUUUGUGGACAUCUCAUCUGGAACGCCUUUGUUAGGUCGAAAAGAACAUUAUAAUGAAUUAAAUGGCACACUGUAAAGACUUGUGAAUAUUUAAAAAUCAAGAUGGGACACAUAUCAUAAAAUUGUUUGUUUGAAGGAAGGUAAAGUGGAUAAGGAGAAUUGAAUCUUGUUCUGUUAAUGACUUAUUCUUAUGGUAAGUUCAAUGUUCUGCACUGAUCAAUGCCAGUUGUUAUUGUUUCCUUGUUAUGGUGAGUCCUGUGUUCUGCAGUGAUGAAUUCCAUUCGUUAUUUUUUCUAAUCACCUCAUUUUUUAAAUUUACCUGUUUCAAUUUCACUAGUUCAUCAAAGUCCUUUUUAAGAAGUAUGGGAUAGGAACACUUCCAAUAUCCCAUGAUUUUUAUGGCUUACAUGUGUAAGGCUAUGACACUUGAAGGACAUCUGGUGUGAUAUUUCUUUUGCUAAUUGUAAAGUGAACAUGAGUUGUUCAACCACAUCGCUUGUUAAGAGACUUGUUAAGACUUGAACAUGGCUCACCAUUUUAUCUGUUGAAUAUUGUAAAGACUGCCUAUAUUUAAUCAUUCUGAUAUAUAGCAACUUGGAGUGCUCAGAAAAUAAAAGCAACUUGGAGGACCCUGUACACUUUGAUUUCCUCAUGGUCUCAUGGUGCAUGGUCAUUUGUGAUAAAGCAUAAAUGACUGUGGAGACCAUAUAAUGCAUAUGCUAAGAAAGUUGGUUGCCUUUAAACAACUCAUUGCUAUACUGUAGAUUGCUAAAUUACCAUCUAGAAACAUUGUGCAUCUAGUACUGAAAUAGGCUGCACAUGUCUGCUGUGAAAUUUUGAUAUGGCAGAUUAUCAUGGGUUCUUAGCUUCUGUUGCUUUGGUCAUUUGUGUCUGUGCAGUAUGCUAGCUAGCUAGGUAAAGCCAUACACUAUAGCUAGAAGAUGCUUAAUCAUAUCAUUCACAGGGAAGAGAAGUGCCUGUCUAUGCGACAUAGUUAUUGUCAAGAAUUUCUUGACAUUAUUCUUUUUGUUUUUUUUUUAUUUAAUACAUUGUUGAGCAAUCAAGCAGUAGUUUCUUGGUCCUUUUUUUUGCAGCAGAGUAUCAGAGUAAAGUCCAUGAAAUUAUCCCUUUGCUAACUUUGCGCAUUUUCUUCACUAAUUUGACAUGAAACAUGCUUAUUUCUUCAAUUAGUUUUUGAGCACGUAGGAAAUCAUGGUGUUAAACAUUUUUCUGCGCAGGAAACCGAGUAGAGUUGAGGUUAUUUCUCUCAAUGUGAAUUCCUUCUGCUUCUUUUUUUCAUAUGAGAAAUUAAUUUGUUGUCAUUCAUAUUAGGCAUUGAAGCAACGAGAUGAAGAUUUGUCCAAAGAAGUUGAGAUUCUCAAGUACAAAGUCGUGGAACUGGAGCACCUUGUUAAAGGACGAAGGCAUAAUAUUUUCAGCUUGACGCAAGCUGAUAGCAUGAAUGACAAAGUUAAAACUUGAUUUAUUGUCGUGUCAUGGCAGUAAAAACUUGUCCAAUGGGAGUCGAAAUACUCAGAAUGGAACUUUGACCAGAGAUGCAAAUUUUAGGCAUUUCUGAGAAUCUGUAGCUGCUCUUGCCAAACUAAUAUGACUCAAAAAUUCUUGACUCCUUGCGGGAGCAAAAUCAGAUAAUACAAGUUGUAGAAAGAUGUAUGUUCACCAUCUUUUUAUGUGGAUCAGCUGGACUAGAUAAAGCGCAUUUGGAUAUUAAACUUGCAAUAGGGAGCCGAAGCAGAGUUCUGUCUCUUUUGCUCUGCAUGUCUAUUAGCGCGAGUACAUUUAGCUGUACUCUAUUUUGUAGCAUUUUCCUAAUCAACCACCAUCAUCAGCCUCUGUUUCAUGUCAUUCCUUCCACAUUGAAAUCGCCAACCAAAAACCAGAACCACUUCAAGCAAUGGCUAAGCACAAUAUCCAGAGAGUUUAUUUGCAAAAUGAAAAGAUUUAUCAUGCUAUUAGACCACCAGAGUGCGAAUUUCGGGGACCAAAAAUCUGGUGGUUAUGGUUUCUUUUAUGAAACUCUUAUUUUUUUUUUUUUGGUUGGUUAUUGUGAUUUCAAUCUUUUUCUUGGUGGUAAACUCUUGCAAUUUAUAGGCAAAAACUAGUAAAUUAAAUCGGUGUUUUUUUCCCUCAAUUUUCUGGUUUCAACACCAUAUAUGAUUGGGCAAUUUAAUGUCAAUUUGACUCUGUGUAUAAAAGGAUUUGUUUUGAAGUGGUAAUUUGACAAUAUGGUUUUGUUGGAGCAAUGGAGCUGCAACAAAUGUAAAAGAGCAAUUGAAGGAAGAGUCGGGAUUUGGCAGUAAUAUAGUAGCAUUUUAAGGAAGCAGUUUUUUUAAAAAAAAAAAAAAAAAGUUCUCCUUGUUCCUUCCGGGGAUUAUAAAAAAAAAAAAAAAAAAGCACCAAUAGAAUUAUAAACAAACCGAAAAAGUAGAAUAAAAACAGAACAUUGGAAAUAUUAACUUACAAUUUACAGUUAAAAACAGAACAGAUAGAUAUCGAUACGUACAUUAAAACAUUGGAAAUAUUAACUACUUAAAACAUUAAUUGUUUCCCUAAUGCAAAUGAGUCAAACUUUGUUCAACGGAUAGAUAUGAAUACGGGGAAUAUGUGCAAUCUUGGGCCACUCUGCACCACUUCCUUUGGUGCAUCUCUCUGCUAAAAGAGGACACCUGGUGAUAGAUAGAUAAUUUAAAUUGGUGAGGUGUCG